Molecule: RNA transcript, 1859 nt
Organism: Rhododendron vialii
Lineage: Eukaryota; Viridiplantae; Streptophyta; Magnoliopsida; Ericales; Ericaceae
Gene name: transcription factor HBI1-like
Exons: 6
Source: RefSeq, a predicted model, not a curated record
GUCGAACCUUAUGGUUAACAGCCACAAAUUUUGUUUUACUGCAUGGAAUGGAAGCUCAUGAACUGGGAGGUUUUUGUUUCCCCAAUAGUUGUAGGGACCACCCCGCCCUUCUUAAGCCCAUCUCUAACUCCAACUUUGCAUGCAUCUCUCUCUCUCUCUCUCUCUCUCUCUCUCUCUCUCUGGAACAAUAUAUCUAAUCUCUGUGAUCUGAACUGCAUUUGAUUACAAAAGCUUCAUUGAAUCAUUGGACAUGUUACACUUGGACGAUUCCUUCACCGGAAACAGUACGGACAUGACUGUGCUCCAGAGACAUCAAGCUAUUUUCAGCCGUCAGCAUGAGGACCAGAGACAAGACAACAAUGCAAUUGAAUCUUACGCAAUGCCUCGGCUUCAGAGUCUCAUCAGUGAUGAUUCGAUGGUAUAUCAAGAGCUGAUGAGUAGCUCGAUGAAUGCCGAUCAGUACCUGGGAAGUAUGUUUCCUGCAUUCAGAGAACUCCAGUUGGCCGGAACUGAGUUCGUUGGCGAUACAAUUAGUAUUGCGCCUUUACAGUUGGUGACUUGUGGUUCUCCGGACGUUAAUCACUCUUUUUCUGUAGGACUUAACUUGAAGAAGAGGAAAGCCGAUGAGCUUAUUGUAGAAGAGUGCUGUAAUGACGACGAGAUUGGAGUAGAAGUAAGGCAGGGAGAAUCUGCUGCAAUAGAAACAACUAAUUUGGAAACUUCAACCAACAAUUCGAAGGUUUCUGAUGUUCAGAAGCCUGAUUACAUUCAUGUCAGGGCACGCUGCGGUCAGGCCACGGAUAGCCACAGUUUGGCUGAAAGAGCGAGGAGGGAGAAAAUAAACAAGAAGAUGAAAUGUCUGCAAGAUUUAGUUCCAGGGUGCAGCAAAGUUACAGGCAAGGCUGGGAUGCUCGACGAAAUUAUUAACUACGUGCAGUCUCUUCAAAGACAAAUUGAGUUCCUAUCGAUGAAACUAGCUGCCUUGAAUCCAAUACUUGACUUCGACAUGGAUAGAUUCUCCAUGGAAGAGCAGCCGUUGCACCUCCUGAAAUGGCCGAUUCGGCCUACCAGUUUAGUCAAGUGCAAAAGGGAGCUGCUGCUUAUGGGAUUGAUAUGCCAAUAAAUCCAAUGCAACUUGCUCCUCAGAGAAGCACCACAAGCUCUUCUUCUUUGUCUAUUCCAAAGGUUUAUUUGGACUCAUCCCACUUUCACCAAAUUCAACCCCUGUCAACUUGGGAAACUGAUAUACACACUCUUCACACCACUGAGUUCCAUUGAGAAGGGCCAAUUGUAUUACUACCAAUCUCCACUACUUACAGGUGAGUGGCGCGGAUAUUUGAAUAUUUCGUUUUAAUGAACUAAAGAGAAUAGGGAUGGUCGGUAAGGACUGAAGACUAGUGAGGAGUAAGGAUGAAGCAAGAGGGGCUGAAUCCCUACAUAGAAUACUAACACCAGUACAAUUACUAUCCUAAUAUGAGAAAGUCUGAAGCAUUGGGAACUUUGCAAAGGAAGCUUUACUAACCUAAAUCAUUAGCACCUUCAUCGAUAUUUACAAGCAAGGCACAAUUAUCAGUUGACAAAGCUUUUUCGUCUUGUCUCCAGGAGCUGAUAUUGCCUCUAACGUCACAUGCCUAGCUCGUUUGUUUACAUUCUUGCAUUCAUAUUAUAUUUGUGUAAUGUUUUGUGCAAAGAAAAUUGGUAUUUUGACUAUUUUCAAUCUAGCAGAACCAAAAAGAGACAACGAAGGGGACUAAUUCUCAAGAAAAAGUUCCAUGUAAAUUGAUGCUUUCUAAGCUCCUAAUUGGAAAUAGUAUUGUUAAAUGUUGCUUCUAGAUCUUCAGCUCUGAAGGAAAAGUAUG